AUACGGAGGGUGCAAGCGUUGUUCGGGAUCACUGGGCGUAAAGGGCGCGCAGGCGGUUUGGUAAGUCAGAUGUGAAAGCCCACGGCUCAACCGUGGAAGUGCAUUUGAAACUGCCAGACUUGAGUACCAGAGGGGAAAGUGGAAUUCCCGGUGUAGAGGUGAAAUUCGUAGAUAUCGGGAGGAAUACCGGUGGCGAAGGCGACUUUCUGGCUGGAUACUGACGCUGAGGCGCGAAAGCGUGGGGAGCAAACAGGAUUAGAAACCCCAGUAGUCC
RNAcentral lists this ribosomal RNA (274 nucleotides) under uncultured bacterium. RNAcentral describes it as "partial 16S ribosomal RNA". It matches the Rfam family "Bacterial small subunit ribosomal RNA", at positions 523 to 796 of the family's 1533-position model. The record is from RNAcentral.